ACACAAUAUGCUCUUUCAGGAAUUCAGAAGUUUACCAAACAAAGCUACAUCUUACAUGAAGAACACCAGGGUUUUAACUGCAACGGAUUGUACUAGUUAAGUUGCGACCAAUGAUUCAUUCUUCAGCUUAAUAUCCAAGCCCGUGGUUUCUGCAUACUGCUAGGGAGACAGACAGAAAGAAGAGGCAGAAUGCAGCUUGAGAUAGUACAUCCUACGUUCUCCACCUUGUUUCACAGGGUAGCCUGGAAAUUUACACAUAGGUUAACAAAAAUUUCUUCAUUCCAUGCAUACACAUGAGCGUUGUAUGAUUAAUCCCUUGCCUUCGAAAUAGUUUCGACUUGCAUCCGAGUAAGGCAAAAGCAUUAUCGUUGCAUGGGAAAAUCUGCUAGCGUCGCGAGGAGAUCAGAUGAUCUCCGUGGGAUUCAGGCCUUCAAGGGCCUGCAGUGCUUCCUGGAGACCUGGACAGAUCUGAAACCGUCUCUUUCCAAAUAUUCUGCAAGCUUGGCCUGUUGAUAUGCGUCAAAUCAUCAUCAACAUUAGAGUUCAAACAAGAUUAUUUUACUAUACAGAAUACAGAAUUAUAGGGCUCGUUUCUAGUGGAGAGUGAUAUGUUGAGAUCAAAGGCAAAAAGGCUUGUGGCUGCUGCAGGUUAGAAGAUACUUGUCCUGGAACUCAAAGAAAUUGCACAGGCCGGCCUAGAGAAAGGGAGAAGGAGGCAAGAAGAUCUAGGUGCCAACGAAGGAAACGAUUAACAUACUAAAUGACUGGCGGAGAAGAUGAGCUGUUGCUCCUAAUGCCGACACUUCAGUCGAUUUGAAGGAACCUGCGGCGAACCAAGAAGGG
This 843-nucleotide long non-coding RNA is filed under the name Triticum aestivum (bread wheat). RNAcentral's name for it is "long non-coding RNA (TAES_LNC024285)". The record is from RNAcentral. Lineage: Eukaryota; Viridiplantae; Streptophyta; Magnoliopsida; Poales; Poaceae.